AAUUAAAACAAGAUUUUUUGAUACACCAAUAUUGGGAGUUAGGCUAAGUUACACAAUAUUCUUAUAACUCGUACUUAAAGGUCUUUCGCUUGCAAGUGAGCAAAAAUAGUAAUAGAUCAUAGUGUUACUCGCGAAACAGAGUUCUUAAGAGUUUAUAUAAGCUUACAUCUUCAUUGGUGCAACCCCAUCAAUUAUAGUCUCAGUGGAAGUGGUCUCUGAGUAACUCAAGUCAGGGUACAUGCCACAUCUACACAUAUAUACAAAGAGAAAUCAAUAUUUUUAGGAAACAAUGAACAAAGUAAUUAACUCCUAAUUAAGAAUAUAAUUAGAUGUUAUGGAGAAUCAUGAUAGGAUAUAUGGCUAGUGGAAUGGAAGAAUUACUUGCAGCCACUGCCGCACUUGCAGUCGCUACCACAGCUACAAUUGCAAGACAUUUUUUUCAAAAGUUGGCAAGACUAAAAGGAUAAGGAGAAGUUGUAUAGUUGGGAAUUGAAUUCACUCAAAGCCUGGGAUGGGUUUUCUUGUGAGGGACUCAACUGCUAUUUAUAGUGGAGUUGAAGGUUGAAGUCGUUGAGAUCCACCGUACACGUGGAUCAAUCCUAGGCAUCUAUUAGAAUUAUUAAAAUUAAUAGAGAUUAAGUGCCCUGGUUAACAAUCCAUUUAUUCAAAUUGGAAAUUAUUUUGGGUGUGACUGGCUAGAACGUUGACAUGUGAUGUGAUGUUACUAAAUAGGCAUGUAAAAGGACUAGAACGUAAUGGACUUGCCCGAGAUCAAACCUAUUUUUUGGGUUAUGGUUGGCUGGACUUAGCAUUAGGUCAUCUCUAAUGGAGAUGGUUAAAAGGUUAUAGGCCAUUUUUAGUCCGUGUUGGUAAAAAACUAAACUUCAAUGGAAGACAGACAAAAAUGUGUGGAACCCACUAGGCCAAAUAAUGGCCUUCUGGCUAUUGGGCUGGCUACUUCUAGCCACCCUUUAAGUCUGUUGGUUGGAAUAAGGAUUUUCUCUAGAUUCUCUUUGUGAAGAUUUCGAAAAUCUGUUUAUUAUGUUAUUUUAUCGUACAUCAUGCGAUCAGAAAUUAUUUUAAAUUUUAUUAUUUAAAAUUGAACACAAACAGUAUUUGAAGAAAACUGAUCACACGAUGUACGAUGAACGGACACGAUUCACAGAUCCCUGAGAUCCUCACAAAGAGGAUUCGAAAUGGAUCCGAAUUCCGUUUGUUGGGGGUCAUUUGUUACCAUCCAACGUGCUGACAUGAGCAGCAACAUCUUGGUAAUGUCAGCCAGUGGUUGGAAAUUUUUUUUUCAAACAAAAUAAAAAUAAAAAAAUGAUUUAAAAUUCAAAUUUUUUCCUAUAAAUGCCUAUGGCAUUUCUACAUCCUUUCUCAUAUUGUUUUCACCCUUACAUACUAUCCUACCUCAUUUUAUUCUAAUUUUUCACAUUCUAUUUACCUCAAACACUCUUUUCAUACACGGUCAUCUCUUAAUGUCUAAGUUGUUAACAUGAAAGUAAUAUUAAAAUAUUAAAAUAUGUAACAAUACCAACAUGUAACAAUACUAAUAAGUUAAAAGAAAAACUUGAAAAUAAUAAAUUAAUGAUGGGCUAUGUUUAGCCCUUUUCGGUUGGAGAUGGUAUACAAAUAUAGUGUGACAUCCCGUCCCAGAUUUUACAUUUUUAUAAAUUUUUAAAAUGUGAUUUUACGAAAAUGCCCUUAGAGGCGAGGGUCUUGACUUCGUUGACCAACGUAUAGCGAGGUGUACGAAUUAAUCCUUUAGCAUUUUCUUGAGGUACUCGACAUUACAGAACUAUAAAUCCAAGAAGUACUUUUGUUUAGUCACUAUUUAUAUAUUUUAUACAUUUUUAUAAUGAAUAUAUUUUUGUUUAUCAUUUAGUGAUUUUAAAAAGUUGAGGAAGAAGAGAAAGAAUAAGGGGGGAACGGGAGAGAGAGCAGAAGAGAAGGGCUGCUGCCCAAUCGGAGGAGAGGAAGAGAGAAGACUGACCAACUAGAGAGAAGAGAAAGGAGGGAAAUGAGGGAAGGUGAGAAAGAGGGAGAAACCGGGUUUCCCCCUUGACCCACUCGACCCGAAAAGCACACGGCCAAAUUCGGCCAUUUUUUAGGCGAUUCAAACCUUCCCACUAUCUGCAACCUACUCCAUAACCUUCCCUCUUCCUUUUCCAUCCAAAAUUAGAAGGAAUUUGGUGGUAAUUUUAGGGAAAAAUUGCAUCGAUGGGUGCGACGGUUCUUGGCCGAGAUUCACCAAAUUUUUAAAUGAUUUCAUCAAAUUACCACCACCAAAAUACUCCCCUGAAGCUCAGGAACAAAGCCCAAACAAGUUUGGAGGCGUCGGAGUUGCUAUGGAGCUGAAUUGAGGACACCUAAAACUAGGGUUUCCGACGAGUUUUAGCAAAAUUGGGGCUCUUUUAGGACAAAUUGGACUUGGCCACAUGUAUAAAGUUUACUCUACUAAUUGAGAUCUCCAUUCUUGUAAAUUUUGAUAAUUUUUGGAAAUAGUUGGAUUUUCCAGCGAGUCGGGGCGGCCGAUCGCCUCUUGCCGCGGCACAUGCGGCGGCGCCCGGCUAGGGGGCCGUGGAUGUUAUUCUUAGGCUAAUUAGAUGCUUUGAGUUCAUUUUUGGUAAUUUUAUGACGUAGGUUGAUUGUUAGAAUCUAAAUUCUCUACGUUACGUUAAUAGGUCAUUAUAUGAAUUGACGAUCCGACCGUUGGAUCGUUACCAAACUUUAGUAUGUUAGAGUGUGUAAUAUUUGAGGACCAUAGGAACUUACAGAUCGGGAAUCCGAUAUACGGACCUUUCCAAAAUUGGAAUUGUAAGUUCAUAAAAUAAAAGGUUAACCGCCACUUAGUUUUGGCAAUUGGCGGAGAUCCGACCGUUGGAUCGUAAUGAGACUUAAGGAUUUUCUCUAGAGGUAUAAUGUGGAUCUUUGGAAGCAACGGAUCGGAAAUCCAUGAUGCAAAUCUUCCAAAUUGAAUUACGUAGAGAUGCGUUUUAUGUAAAUUGUGUAUUUUAUCGGAAUGAAUUCUGAGAUGUGAUUUGAUAAUUGGCCACAGGCGACGAUGGUUCGUGAUGUCUUGAUAUGCGUGCUAAGGAGUAGUAGGGCGGACCUCAGGUAAUUGGGUCUUUUCCUUUCUAUUAUAUACAUAUACAUAUACAUAUACAUAUAUAUAUAUGAUUGAUAAUUCCACAAACAGUUAUAAAUUGAUUACUGCAUAUCAUUACUGUGAAUGCUUUGAAGUACUAAUGCGAACUACGAAUGGUUUGAUCCCUGUUUAGGGUACGUAGGCAGUCUAACAAGACGUUAGAUGCAGCCAUACAAUAAUUGAAACAAAAACCUUGUUUGGGAAUUGAGAAAUGUGAAGAAAAUUGGUGAAAAUAUGAGAUUUAACCUUAUAUUUUUAGUGAUUAGAUGUUGGUCAUAAAUCAAUAUGGAAGGAAUCAAGAAAUUGAAAUAAGGAAACGUAAGUAAUGAUAGUUAAUUAAACUAGUGUUUAGUUGGACUUAUCCCCGAUAAUUAAUUCUGAAAAUAAAUAAUUCGGGAGUAAGGCGUUAUAGAUUGUGCAUUUUACGCUACAUUAUAUAUAUAUAUAUAUGUAUAUAUUGGAAAAAUACUAUGAUAUGGUUGAAUUUUAGAUUUGCAUUAUGGCAUAUCCAUGUGUAUAUUACUUGCACAUAAUUAUUGUGAAUGCUUUGAAGUGCGAAGGUGAACGCAGAACACACAGGUGAGUUCAGGUGAGUUAUGGUAUUAGUUGAAAUAAUUAAGUUAUGGCAUGAUCACAUUUAUGUUUUAGGCAACUUCGACAUUGUCGUACAUGUUGCCUAUGAGUUGAAUAUGUCAUAUGAGAUGCAUUUAGAGCUCAUAAAGUAGUGAUCCCCCCCCCCGGUGGCCAGGGCACAGUCCUUCACGUGAUUUUCACCUUCCGCACCUUACGCUCACCUUGGAUCUAAGGUAGGUGCACAAGCAUGUUGUACAGACCGCUAUAGGUGGUUCCGACUCGUAGAUGACUCGUGAUUAUUCGCACAGUCUUCACGUGAUCGUAGCACUUGAACGUACUUAUUUACACACAGUCUUGUCAUACAGACCACUAUAGGUGGUUCCGACUCGUGUGCAGGGAUAUAUGAUGAGCCAACAUUGAUUGAUGAGAUAUGGAUAAGUCGUACAAGUCACUAUAGGUGAUUUCGACUGAUGAGCUAGCAUUGAUUGAUGAGAUAUGGAUAAAUCAUACAUGUCACUAUAGGUGACUCCAACUUAUGAGUUAGCAUUGAUUGAUGAGAUAUGGAUAAGUCAUACAGGUCACUAUAGGUGACUCUGACUUGCGUACAAGUAUGAAUUAUUAAUCACAUGAUUAUUGAUAUUGCUGAUGAGAUGCGGUGUUAUGGUAUAUUUAAGGAGUUACUGUUGAUAUACUUUUGAUUUCACAUUGAUACGUGGUAUGAUUUUUCUGGAAACUAUACAGGUGUUGCAGCGAGGGGUUAUAAUGUUUUAUAUGGUUUCUAUUAAAAUCUUAUUUCUCGGGCCACUCACCCUUGUUUUGUUUUCACCCUUCAGGUUUUAUUAGCGGAGCUUUCUUAUCAUUGAAAAUUCGUGGCGAUUCUUAGUAUUGGAGAUUCUUUCGAGCAUACGAUUCUUAAUUCACUCUACUGUACUUACUUAUGCUCUAACGUCACGUGUGAAGUGAGUUCAUUCCCGUUCACCAGCGUACUCUGGUAUUUAGGCACUCUUAGUGUUAAAUUUAUUCACAUUUUUCCACAUCAUCACACUUUAUGACUUUGUCACCUUCCAGGUGUCGGCCAACGCAGCUCGAUUCGGAGUCCUAGUGGACAUUUCGGGUCGGGGUGUGUCAUAUAGUCUGACACUGUUCAUUUAAAAAUAAUUUUUUUUUCAGGGCUAUAAUUCUAAAUGGAGCUAUACUUAACCCUUUCAGUUGGAGAUGCCCUUAGGAUCGAGCUUUAUCUGCCUAGACUCGAUUUUUAUGCCCUACACGAUAUGGCUCGAUGUAAUUUAAAUACUUUUGAACUUUCUUUAAUAUAAUUAAGUACUUGUUUUUCAAUACUAAUAUAAUAUAAUCCUUUUUUUAACAAACAAUAUUAUCUACACUGUGGGGGAGGAGUCAUGUGGAUAUAGCCUCACAUUAGGCUAUAAUAUGGUUCAAAUUCGUCUUUGAUAAUAAUUGAAUUUAAGACCUCUCACUUACAAGUGAAGAAGAAUAUAUCAUUAGAACGUAGUACUAAGUAGCCUAAUAUAAUUUAAUUGACUAUAUUAACCAAAAAAAUACCUAAAUUGAAAUGGUAAUUAACAACUAAUAAAAAUAAAAUGUCUUAAGUUCAACAGAAGAAAUUUAUUUCUAAAGUGGGUGAAAUAUUGAGAUUUUUUUUUUUGAAUAAACGAUAUUAUUCCCUUUAGUGUAGAUAAUAUCGUUUAUUAAAAAUAAAUUCUCAAUAUUCCCACUUUAGAAAUAAAUUUCUUUUGUGUGUGUGUGUGUGUGUGUGUGUGUAUAUAUAUGUCACGUUUCAAAAUAACUCUAAACGCUAACUAAACAUACAUUCUUGAUGACGAUCAAUUAGUGGCACUCAAUUUUGUAUCUUGAUAAUAAUUAAUAAUUAUUUUAACCUAGUGGCACUCAAUUUCGAAUUCGGAUCCUCGCCGGAUCUUCUUUGUGAGGAUUCCGAGGAUCCGUCAAUUGUGUUCAUUCAUCGUACAUCGUGCGGUCAGAAAUUAUUUUAAAUAUUUUUAUUUAAAAUUAAACAUAAACAGUAUUUGACAAAAACUGACUGCACGAUGUACGAUGAACGAACACGAUUCACGAAUGUCCAAUAUCCUAACCAAAAGGAUCUGGUAGGCUCAAUUUCUACCUUGAUAAUGAUUAAUUUUUUAAGUGGCACUCCACUUUUAUUAUUUUCAAAAAGAGGUUUAAUGUUCAAAUAUGAUAAAUAGCAAUGGUUAAAUCAAUCAAGAAAAGUUAUAAAGAUGAUAACAUAAACACAUUAUCAAUAAUUUAAAAUUAGAAUUUUUUUUAACAAACGAUAUUAUCUACACAAAGAAUGUGGGAGAGUUGGCUAAACCUCACACUGGGCUAACUAUAAUAAUGUAGUUCAAAUUCGUCUUUAGCGAAAAUUGAACUUAAAACCUCUAAUUUACAAGUGAAGAGGAAUACCAUUAGACUGUAGGAAGUUAACAAUUUUAUUUCUUAUCAUUCAUGUGCACCACUCACAUUAAUUCCCAUUUUAUUAUUUGGGAAGAAAAACUUUCGCUGCUUAAGGAUAUAUUAAUGAGAAACUUCUCUUUAAAAUACCUCAGAUUAAUUCUCUCAAUUUAUUAUUUGGAAAGAAAGAAUUGGCUCCUUAAGGAUUGAUGGGACUUCUCUUUAAAAUAUCUUAUGACCUUUCUACAGUAUUUUAUGCUUUUACCGAAUCCGUCUAUUUGUUUUUAGACAAUUCGAUGAUUAAACUAUUUUAGUUUUAAUUGAUUUUUUUGCAGACUUGAUAUUUACAUAAUGAUUUUUAAUAUACAUAGUUUUGAUCAUCAAUAUGAAAUUAUGUAAAUAGGCCACAAGGAGUUAACCUAUUAUUGAGUUUCAUUUGAUUCGUGGAGUGGCCAAAGUAGUCCCUUUCUUCCUACCAUACGGCACCUGCACAACUAGGUCACCUUUUAAGUUAUGGUGGCGGUUGCUAGCUGACCAUUCUUCGCCUAAGUUAGAAUUAUAUUUCAAGAAAUGUACUGGGUUUUCCAGGUAGACAAACAUAUAUGAGUCCAAAAUGUUCUUGUUUUGGCCAAGAGUUCAACUCAAGGUAAUAAAUCAAUCCUUCAUGGGCAGUACGUACUUGCAGAGGGGGGCGUUGGGAUGUGAGAAAGGUGCAGUGGCACAGAGUUCCGAAUUUUUGGGAGGCCCCAAAAUUUUUUAUCCUCCUUAUACUACAUAUAUGAGUAUUAAUUUAUAAUAAAAAAAAAUUUAACUGAAAAAAAAAAAUCAUCAUCAUAUGAUUUUACAAUUGAUUAAAUAGAGCUUAUACUUAAUAUAUUAUUUUUCUAUUUUUCUCUAGCAAUAAAAAACUUAUGUAUUACUUUCUUCUACUUUUCUUAAGUAAUAAAAAACUAAUGUGUGAUUAUUACUUUAUUCCACCACAAACGUAUUUUCAUAUCUCUCUUUUAGCUGUGCUUGAUUUUUUUAUAGAUGAACCAAAAUCAUAAUUUAAUGGUAAUUGGAGAUUAUUCAAUUAGUAAAAGUGAGAUGCUGAUUUCAAUUAAGUUUGAAUAUUGAUAGUUGAACUUUGUAUGAAUAUAUUCUCUAAGAAAUUAUUAUUUUUAAAUAAGGACGGCCUUCUUAUGAAAUUCGCACAGGACCACCAAACUGUCAGAGACAGCCUGUGUACCAGCCCCUUUACCUGUUGAGCUCGUGUAGGCAUCGACAGAGAUUGAUUAUGAAGGAGAGGAGGGCACACCAAAUGACGAUGGAUGGAGGUUACGACUGCAGUCGGGGAUAGCGGCCAUGGUAGAGGACGUGGUUUGGGAGGCAGCUACUCAAGGUGGCCGCGGUAGUGGCCAUGGGAGGGGAGGAUGGAGGAUACAAGGAAGAAGCACCUCAUGCUCAAGGUGCCCGCGGUCGUUGCCAUGGGAGGGGGAAGGAUAUGGACGUGGCUAUAGGUGGAACAUCAUACAAAAAUGGCCAGUGUCUAGUUUAGAGCUGCAAGAUGGAAGUUAAUCUCUCGUUUUGUCGCGUAGAUUAGGUGCGAUGUUUGAAUAGAUGAAAUUAAUCAUGCCCUUAAUUAAUCAAAUAUAUGACUCUUGGAAUGAAUUAAUUAUAUGGUAUUAUCUAUUGUGUUUGCCUUUUUUUUGGGUCGAAUAUCUCUGGUGUUUCUAAAUUCCAAAUCUGGUUACAUCAGAUAAAAAGUCAGAAGAUAGGAACAUGACCUAAUAGUUGGUGGCUUGUAAAAAUAUGGAUUAAAGGUCAACUCAAAGGAGCUCUCAAUAGUCCAUAUCCACUACAAUUUUAUCUUUCAUUUCCAAACCCAAACACACAUCAAAGUAAAACCCACAAGAAAUUUAAGCUGAAGAAACACAUAAAUUAAGAAAGAUGUAACAUACAAAUAAUUAAGCUAGCCACAAAGCAAAUCCCAAACCCUAGCUAGCUAGAGAUUCAUGGAUUUGCAAAUCUCAUGGCUAAUCUUAUUUUACAGUAAGUUCUAAAACCCAGCUUUUACAGUCUUUUCUUAUUUAUAGAGACCAUCACAGCUUUCUUCUUUGAGUUUAGAUCGUGGCUUGCUUCGAUCAUUUGUGGCAGCCGCAUGAGCUGCAGCUGCAGUUUGAGCCACACUUGCAGUCAUUCUCUGCUCCAUAGCUCAUCUCAGACCCCUCAGAGAACCUGCAAUAAUAAUGAUAAUAUAGUCAAUUUCAUUUUUUUUUUAACUACAGAGUUUAUUUAGAACUCCAAAAAAGUCAUCCGGCACUCCUAGAAUAGUAAAUUCUCUAUAUGUUUCUACGUG
Molecule: long non-coding RNA, 8489 nt
Filed under: Malus domestica (apple)
Lineage: Eukaryota; Viridiplantae; Streptophyta; Magnoliopsida; Rosales; Rosaceae
Description: long non-coding RNA (MDOM_LNC010080)
Source: RNAcentral